This 277-nucleotide ribosomal RNA is filed under the name uncultured Bacteroidota bacterium. Its description in RNAcentral is "uncultured Bacteroidetes bacterium partial 16S ribosomal RNA". It matches the Rfam family "Bacterial small subunit ribosomal RNA", at positions 68 to 339 of the family's 1533-position model. Lineage: Bacteria; Pseudomonadati; Bacteroidota. The record is from RNAcentral.
CAGCAUGAACUUAGCUUGCUAAGUUUGAUGGCGACCGGCGCACGGGUGAGUAACACGUAUCCAACCUCCCGCUUACUCAGGAAUAGCCUUUCGAAAGAAAGAUUAAUGCCUGAUGGUAUCUUAAGCACACAUGUAAUUAAGAUUAAAGAUUUAUCGGUGAUGGAUGGGGAUGCGUCUGAUUAGCUGGUUGGCGGGGUAACGGCCCACCAAACCGACGAUGGAUAGGGGUUCUGAGAGGAAGGUCCCCACAUUGGUACUGAGAUACGGACCAAACUCC